Enterococcus villorum ATCC 700913 is the source of this 74-nucleotide non-coding RNA. NCBI's taxonomy places the organism in Bacteria, Bacillati, Bacillota, Bacilli, Lactobacillales, Enterococcaceae. The record is from Rfam.
GGUCUGGUAGUUCAGUUGGUUAGAAUGCCUGCCUGUCACGCAGGAGGUCGCGGGUUCGAGUCCCGUCCAGACCG